Molecule: unclassified non-coding RNA, 231 nt
Filed under: Hevea brasiliensis (rubber tree)
Lineage: Eukaryota; Viridiplantae; Streptophyta; Magnoliopsida; Malpighiales; Euphorbiaceae
Source: RNAcentral
GCCUGUUGUACUGUUUCAAACACCUAAAAAGAGGGAGAGAUUUAAAAAUAAUAAAUAUAUGAGACUGAUAGAGAAGGAAAACAGAGUUUUUAUCACAACCGGAGAUGUUUACAAGAGAGGAACUUAAAUAGACAAAAGAUAGAGAGGAUGACAGCAAUUUUUAGUAGCAUGAACAAGAAAUUUAGGCCAAAAGAUCAGAUAAGCAGUCAUACAAGCAUUUUCUUAUCUGGU